RNAcentral lists this ribosomal RNA (310 nucleotides) under uncultured Prevotella sp. RNAcentral's name for it is "partial 16S ribosomal RNA". The record is from RNAcentral. Lineage: Bacteria; Pseudomonadati; Bacteroidota; Bacteroidia; Bacteroidales; Prevotellaceae.
GGAGUUUGGACCGUGUCUCAGUUCCAAUGUGGGGGACCUUCCUCUCAGAACCCCUACUGAUCGAUGGCUCGGUGGGCCGUUACCCCGCCGACUACCUAAUCAGACGCAUCCCCAUCCCAUAGCGGUGAACCUUUGUUCCGAAUCAGAUGUCAUCCUCGGAAUACAUAGGGUAUUAAUCCGCAUUUCUACGGGCUAUGCCCUACUAUGGGGAAGGUUGGAUACGCGUUACUCACCCGUUCGCCACUAGGAUUCUGCCGAAACAAAAUCCCCGUUCGACUUGCAUGUGUUAGGCACGCCGCCAGCGUUCGUC